GCACAACACAUAAGUUCCCACCACAUACAUACAAUCUAUAAGGCACACCGAUGUUCUACACAAAACCAGAAAGACAGAGAAAGUCUCACACUUAACACUAUAACCACCUACAUACAAGAUAGAAAAAACAGAAGGAAGCAGUAAAACAAUUACUCAAACAACAGCUACAGCCUCCGGAGAAGGCUUGACAGUAGCCUUGAGAACAUUGGCAGCAGCAGGGCCUCCCGCCGCCAGCGCCACUUUCACGUCUUUGGCAGGCACGACAGGUGGAGGCAUCAUAUGGGUGGGAGGGGAGUGCUUCAGCUUUGUGAGUAUUUGGCGCAUUCUUGAGAGAUCAGUGGGU
RNAcentral lists this unclassified non-coding RNA (343 nucleotides) under Hevea brasiliensis (rubber tree). The record is from RNAcentral. Lineage: Eukaryota; Viridiplantae; Streptophyta; Magnoliopsida; Malpighiales; Euphorbiaceae.